GGGACGAUAGCUUAUGCGGUCUGCAGCGCUGGACUGAAAAUCCAGAGGGUGAAGGUUCUACGCCUUCUCGUCCCA
RNAcentral lists this transfer RNA (75 nucleotides) under Blautia sp. An249. It matches the Rfam family "tRNA". From Rfam's summary of the family: Transfer RNA (tRNA) molecules are approximately 80 nucleotides in length. Lineage: Bacteria; Bacillati; Bacillota; Clostridia; Lachnospirales; Lachnospiraceae. The record is from Rfam by way of RNAcentral.